Diceros bicornis minor is the source of this 1319-nucleotide long non-coding RNA. RefSeq lists it as uncharacterized. The record is from RefSeq and is a predicted model, not a curated record. The transcript is spliced from 3 exons. NCBI's taxonomy places the organism in Eukaryota, Metazoa, Chordata, Mammalia, Perissodactyla, Rhinocerotidae.
GUAUUAAAUCUAAAAACAAGUGAUUUCUAUAAAGCUAAUUCAAAGAAACUCUGCAACCGGCUCUCCUAAGGCCCAGUUAAGGAUGUUGUAAUUUGGGGAUUUGCACUUCUCUUUAUUUCGCCACCUGGCCUAUUUCCUGUUUCUAAGGUACUUUGGUUGCCAUGGAAACAUAAACACAUACAACUAGUUUCCUCUAAUUGGACUGAUGAAUUUCACCCUGAGCUCUGCCCCUCUGCUUUCUCUCUCAUGGCAACUCCCCACUACACCUUAAUCAAUCUUUGCUUUUUUCCACUUAGCUUACCUACUCCCUUCACUCCCAAUUUUCUCACCAGUCUCCCUCUCCUGGUGUGGUAGCACACUUGAGUGUGUGGAUAGCUUUGGGUAUUUGCCUUGCAACUUAUAAAUCCUGUGUGCAAACUAACCUUCCACCAGUGGGAGUAACUCUUACAAAGACUCCAUUUUUUUUAUGGAACUAUAUUGAUUGAUCAUUAGAAUUAGGACUACCUUGUCAAUAAUUAGAAUUAUUGACAUUUUGUUUCCUAUUAAAUAGCUGUAUAAGGAAAUAGUAAUUAAUUUUUAUGAGUAGGAAUAUAAACAGCACAGACCUUCAAGGAAGUAGUGAGAUGUAUACAAAUUGGUAGAAAAUAGUGAUCCAAAACAAUGAGUGACCUAGGUAAAAUUAAGAAUUAGGUUACCUUACAACUCAAAUACAAAGGAAAUGGAUUAGGGGAAACAAUCAAAGCCUGGAAAGUUCAUACAUGAACUAUGUAUUAACCAUUCUUUCUCUUUCUUUCUCCUCCUUCUCUGUCUUCUUCCUAAUAUAGUCAUAACUUGGGACAAGGUGUUUUCACACACACUGCAUGAAAUGUGGUGACGGGGUGCAACACAGAUCAGCUGAGAAGGAGACUGACUCUCUGAACAGAAGCUCCUGGAAUGUCCUGAAGUAACAGGAGCAAGUUUCACCAACACACGCCCUGUUAAUGAGGAAACUGCAAAAGAGAAUUCAGAAGAUUAAACACAGAUCUACAGUGAGAGAUGUGUUUACAUCCUAUAUGUAGAUAAACCUGGAGCUGCCCAAGUCCAUCCUACUGCCACAGGAAAAGAGUCUAACAUACAGGAAAACAGCUGAGAAAUGGAGACACACCUGACAACAUCAUUUGAAUAUCUGAAUCCUGGACCUUUCAGCUUGAAUGAGCUCCUGCACUCACCCCACCACAAACAUCAAUUUUUUUGUUUAUAUUUUUAUUGUGCUUAAUCGAGUUUGAGUUGGGUUUCUGUCAUUUGUAACCAAAAGAGUUCUGACAAAUACAAACUUCACA